RNAcentral lists this ribosomal RNA (380 nucleotides) under uncultured eukaryote. RNAcentral's name for it is "partial 18S ribosomal RNA". It matches the Rfam family "Eukaryotic small subunit ribosomal RNA", at positions 592 to 976 of the family's 1831-position model. The record is from RNAcentral.
CAAUAGCGUAUAUUAAAGUUGUUGCGGUUAAAAAGCUCGUAGUUGGAUUUCUGCUGAGAACGACCGGUCCGCCCUUUGGGUGUGUAUCUGGCUCUUUCUUGGCAUCUUCUUGGUGAACGUUGCUGCACUUGACUGUGUGGAGCGCUACCCAGGACUUUUACUUUGAGGAAAUUAGAGUGUUUCAAGCAGGCAUACGCCUUGAAUACAUUAGCAUGGAAUAAUAAGAUAGGACCUCGGUUCUAUUUUGUUGGUUUCUAGAGCUGAGGUAAUGAUUAAUAGGGAUAGUUGGGGGCAUUCGUAUUUAACUGUCUGAGGUGAAAUUCUUGGAUUUGUUAAAGACGGACUACUGCGAAAGCAUUUGCCAAGGAUGUUUUCAUUGA